Molecule: ribosomal RNA, 468 nt
Filed under: uncultured bacterium
Lineage: Bacteria
Description: partial 16S ribosomal RNA
Rfam family: Bacterial small subunit ribosomal RNA
Source: RNAcentral
GACGAACGCUGGCGGCGUGCUUAACACAUGCAAGUCGAACGGAAAGGCCCUGCUUUUGUGGGGUGCUCGAGUGGCGAACGGGUGAGUAACACGUGAGUAACCUGCCCUUGACUCUGGGAUAACUUCAGGAAACUGGGGCUAAUACCGGAUAGGAGCUCCUGCUGCAUGGUGGGGGUUGGAAAGUUUCGGCGGUUGGGGAUGGACUCGCGGCUUAUCAGCUUGUUGGUGGGGUAGUGGCUUACCAAGGCUUUGACGGGUAGCCGGCCUGAGAGGGUGACCGGCCACAUUGGGACUGAGAUACGGCCCAGACUCCUACGGGAGGCAGCAGUGGGGUAUAUUGCACAAUGGGCGGAAGCCUGAUGCAGCAACGCCGCGUGCGGGAUGACGGCCUUCGGGUUGUAAACCGCUUUCGCCUGUGACGAAGCGUGAGUGACGGUAAUGGGUAAAGAAGCACCGGCUAACUACGUG